This is a non-coding RNA of Oryctolagus cuniculus (rabbit), 3007 nucleotides long. Lineage: Eukaryota; Metazoa; Chordata; Mammalia; Lagomorpha; Leporidae. The record is from RefSeq and is a predicted model, not a curated record.
UAUAGGUCCAGUACAAUGUUAUGAGAGGUGGGCGUCCAAGGAAAGAUCUCUCAGUGCUCCUUAAUUCUGGAGAAUAAGCCAGCAUCGCAACUUUGGGAGCGCUCAGACAGCCCUCACAGAGAAAUCCACAUGGUGCACAACUGAGUCCGACUGCUAACAACCAGCACUGCGUUUCUAGGCACGCGAGUGAGUGUACUGGACGUGAAUCUGCCAGCCUCAGCCAUACCUUCAGAUGACUGCAGCCCAGCCAACAGCUCGAUGCAGCUGCUUGUGGAAACCAGACGGUGUGGCAGAGGACAGCGGUGCAGCCAACGGGCACCUGUGGCUCACGGUCAUCAUGGGGAGCAGGAGCACCGCAUCGACCUGCACAUGAUCCGGCCGCACAUGAAGGUACCCGUGGUCACCCGGGACGCCAGACCCCCUGCUGGGCCCGGAAGACCCUCCGUGCCCCUGCGUGGCUCAGAGCCCAGCGACGGCCGCCCUCACAGGCUACCACAGCGAGGGCCUCAACGCCAUCAUCAUCUAUGCCGCCAGCUUCCUCCAGGACAGCAGCUGCCCGGACUACCACUAAGUCCUGGAGAACCUCUUCCUGAGAUUGUAAUAAAAAUGGAAGAAGAACCACGUUCUGCUUUGGACUCUGAAUCAGAGACUUAAUUCUUGUAGAUCCCAGGCUGGCUUUAUGUGGAGAAUGAUGCUUUGUAUACAGGAAGCACUUCAGAAUGUGGCAAGUGAGAACAUUUUUACAAUUUGUUUAUGAAUUCCAGAAAUGAGAUGGUGUUUUACUCUGAAGAAAUACAAUGUUUCAUAUUUCAAAAGAACUUUUAUUGAAGAAUAAAAGAUAUGCAAAUUUAAAACAGGACCUAAUUCCACUAUACAACCAAGAGAACAUCUAAAAGAAGAAAGACAAGCAAUUCCUACUGUUGGUAAGAAGGCUAAACAACUGCAACGCCUAUAAACUGUUUGCAGGAAUAUAAACUACAAUGUUUUACAGAUACCCUAGAAAACUUGUUGUCAGCUACUAGAAACUAAAUAUGUACUUUAUAUGCCAGUAAUCUCUUUCCUAGAUAUAUAUACCCAACAGAAAUGACUUUAUGUCCUACAAAAGACAUUCUCAUAAAGCAGUAUACGGAAUAGCCAAAGACUGGAAAUAACCCAAAUUGUCAACAAAAACAUAAUGGAAAAAUAAAUUGUCCUUCAGUCACACAACUGCAACAAUGGUUUUCAAGCUUGUGGUUUCUGUAACUGUAUAUGAUUUGGGUGGUAAUCCUAAAAGACAUCAGUUCCAAAGACAAUAAUCCCAAAUGUUGCUAUGAAUGUCUCUAAAGAUGGAAAUCUGAGAACUAUAAUUCUGAAUAAAAGAAGCUAAUUCUUUAAAAGACAUUGGUUUUCAUUUUUAAAAUAUUAAUUAAAAGGAACAUAUAAAAGCACAGCAGAACACUUCAUAAGCCACUUUACACAAUAAAACAGGCAAUAAUUAUGCAUGUUUUCUCAUGCAUAAUCAUUCAAGUGUACAAAUGAUAGUCACAUGGGUAUAACAAUUAUAAACUAAUGAAUCAUCUCUCUUUACAUAUAAAUAUAUAUAUAAUAUAUAUGUCUAUAAAUGAAAUAUAUAAAAGCAUGACAUACUGGUAGGAAAUGUUGUGUACCCAACUUAGUUACUUUGGUAAUCUGAAAUAUUGACAAUCUAAGUCUUAAGGGACUUAGAAUGGUGGGGUGAGCAUUUUGACAUAGCUAUUAAGAAAAAGCUUGGGGGCCGGCGCCGCGGCUCACUAGGCUAAUCCUCCGCCUAGCGGCGCCGGCACACCGGGUUCUAGUCCCGGUCGGGGCGCCGGAUUCUGUCCCGGUUGCCCCUCUUCCAGGCCAGCCCUCUGCUGUGGCCAAGGAGUGCAGUGGAGGAUGGCCCAGGUGCUUGGGCCCUGCACCCCAUGGGAGACCAGGAAAAGCACCUGGCUCCUGGCUCCUGCCAUCGGAUCAGCGCGGUGCGCCGGCCGCAGCGCGCCGACCGCGGCGGCCAUUGGAGGGUGAACCAACGGCAAAGGAAGACCUUUCUCUCUGUCUCUCUCUCUCACUGUCCACUCUGCCUGUCAAAAAAAUAAAAAAAAAAAAUAAAAAAAAAAAAAAAAAAAAAAAAAAGCUUGGGAUGCCUGUAUACCUUACCAGAGUUCCUGGGUUCAAUUCCUGGCACUAUUCAUGAUUCAAGCCACAUGCUAAAGUGUAUUUUUAGAUGCAACAGAUGAUGGUUCAAGUAGUUGGGUCUCUACAACCCAUGUUGGAGAUCCAGAUUGAGUUCCCAGCUCCUGGAUUUAGCAUACUCCUGUCCUAGCAGUCAAGGACAUUUGGAGUAUGAACAUGUUCUCUUCCAAUCCCUUGCCUCACCUCACCUUGCCUUUUCCUUCCCUUCUCUCUCUUUUCUUAUUCUCUUUCUCUUUCCCCCUCCCUCCAUCUAUCUCUGUCCCUCUUUCUCUCUUUCCUUUACAAAUAAAAAAGCAAAUUAAGAAAGAAAUAUAUGAUUAUGUAUGCAGUCACCCAAAGAAUAGAAAUAUCAAGAAAUUUUGUUUUUCUCAAACACAGAUAUACAAAAGGAUUUCUUUUCAUUUAUUGAGGAAGAUUUAAUGUUUUUAUGUGCAUACACUGUCCUUAAACACAAAGUCUACAUUAUGAGAAUGUACUCUGAAUCAGCUGAAUUUGAAAAAAAUGCAUUAAACAAAUCUGAACUCUCUAAAAAGUCUACCAUAUUUAUAUCUCCAGUAUUGCAAGUGAUGCAAAGCUGAAAUACUCAUCAUAGUGAAGCAUGAAAAAAGUGUUGUAAAUUUGAAACAGUGGGAAAAAAGGAAAAAAUAGAAAGAAAACAUAGAGAGAAAAGUUGAUAUAUGAAAAAGUUAUUGUAUAGAGUAUUGGUAACUGCAUCCAGGUUAUCUGUAAGAGCAGGCUUAUGCACAUGGACAUUGACUGUAAUUUGAAGUCUUGCAUUGUGAUGAACAGUUGCUUUUAUCCUAGUAGGGCAUGA